UAAGUGUUUACAGAAGAGUUGGUGCAUAGGU
Molecule: non-coding RNA, 31 nt
Filed under: Rattus norvegicus (Norway rat)
Lineage: Eukaryota; Metazoa; Chordata; Mammalia; Rodentia; Muridae
Source: RNAcentral